GGGCAGUGCGGCGGCUAAUACAUGCAAGUCGAGCGAAUGGAUUAAGAGCUUGCUCUUAUGAAGUUAGCGGCGGACGGGUGAGUAACACGUGGGUAACCUGCCCAUAAGACUGGGAUAACUCCGGGAAACCGGGGCUAAUACCGGAUAACAUUUUGAACCGCAUGGUUCGAAAUUGAAAGGCGGCUUCGGCUGUCACUUAUGGAUGGACCCGCGUCGCAUUAGCUAGUUGGUGAGGUAACGGCUCACCAAGGCAACGAUGCGUAGCCGACCUGAGAGGGUGAUCGGCCACACUGGGACUGAGACACGGCCCAGACUCCUACGGGAGGCAGCAGUAGGGAAUCUUCCGCAAUGGACGAAAGUCUGACGGAGCAACGCCGCGUGAGUGAUGAAGGCUUUCGGGUCGUAAAACUCUGUUGUUAGGGAAGAACAAGUGCUAGUUGAAUAAGCUGGCACCUUGACGGUACCUAACCAGAAAGCCACGGCUAACUACGUGCCAGCAGCCGCGGUAAUACGUAGGUGGCAAGCGUUAUCCGGAAUUAUUGGGCGUAAAGCGCGCGCAGGUGGUUUCUUAAGUCUGAUGUGAAAGCCCACGGCUCAACCGUGGAGGGUCAUUGGAAACUGGGAGACUUGAGUGCAGAAGAGGAAAGUGGAAUUCCAUGUGUAGCGGUGAAAUGCGUAGAGAUAUGGAGGAACACCAGUGGCGAAGGCGACUUUCUGGUCUGUAACUGACACUGAGGCGCGAAAGCUGAGACUG
This 754-nucleotide ribosomal RNA is filed under the name Bacillus cereus. Its description in RNAcentral is "bacterial SSU rRNA". It matches the Rfam family "Bacterial small subunit ribosomal RNA", at positions 31 to 768 of the family's 1533-position model. Lineage: Bacteria; Bacillati; Bacillota; Bacilli; Caryophanales; Bacillaceae. The record is from RNAcentral.